UCCAAAAUUUUCUUUUUCCCCUGAUUUCUUAAAAAAACUCUAACUUUUGCCCUUUCUUCCCCGAUUUUCUCCAAUAGUUCCGUUCGUGCGCCGCUCCGUCUCACGAUUUGCUCUGCUUUCGUCAAAUUGUCUGUUCGUCCAUUCGUCCAUUCGUCCAUCGCUUCAUUUCCUCCACAGCCACCGCGCACGGCUGAGGACAGUCACGUCAAACCAUCCAUUCAUUUUCACCACAGUCACCGUCCAUUCAUCCAUUCGUUUCCUCCACGAAGCUCUUGUAUCCCUGGGUUUUGUGAAAUUUCAAAUUCUUGUGCUUGCUUGUACUGGAAUGGGAUGGGUAUAAGGAACUACGGAAAUGUUGCUACUCUCCUUCACUAACAUAUGUGUAUGCUUGAUGAUGUGACGUCCUUCCUCUUGUUAAUGCACUUUGUGCAAUCUACUUGCGUCUUUUGCUUCCUCUUGUUAAAUAUUUUGAUGCUUUAAUAUUUAUCUAAAUUGAAAUGCUUUAAUAUUUCCUCUGUGAUUUAGUUGUUAUUUGCUUUCAUUCUUGUUUCCAUAUGCACUCCCAUGUAGAGUUUGUUCUUUUGAGCGCUAGUUUCUUCUGUUUCAUCAAUUAAAAGUUUUGUUUCUUCUUCAAGCUAUAUCUUUAUCUUCUUUAUGAAUCUAAUUUAUGGAUUAUGGAUAUGUGUGGUACAAUGUUUUAUUACAAGUAACUUCAAUCUAGAAUAGAAAGAAAGAACAGAAAGCUAAUUGUGAUUCUCUUUGGUUCGCUUAUUACAAGUCUUUGGUUUGCUUAUCUUCUUAUCUUGUUUAUUUAGGAAUUUUUGUUUUCCUAUAAUGCAUUAGUCACGUUUUACAUACUUGCUUGUUUAGAUACGUCAAAACGUGAAAGACUUGUUGUUGGCUUUCAAGCUUGGGAAUGGAAAGAGUUCAGAAAAAGACGUUGCAGAUUUAUCCAAGUUGGUGGUGAAAUGAAAUUUGUGCUUUCAAGCCAUUUAGAUUUUCCUACAGAGAGUCGUCAGAUGGAUAGGAAGUAUAGCCGAGAAUCGUCAGAUGAGGAUGUAGUGAAAUGUAACAGGAGAACAAGCAGAGAUAAUGACAGACAAGAUAGAGACAAAAGACAUCAGGACAAAAAUUUGCACAGAGAAGUAGAGAGAGGAAAAUCUAAAUGGAGAUUCGUGAUUAGAAUUAAAUAAUUUGCGUGAGUCGUCCAACGCUGUAAAGCUGGUGUGAGAUUUUCUUCUUAAUUUUGGUGUCUAUUAUGCAACUAGAGCUCUCUUGGACUUACAUUUGAGUGGAGGUUGUUGCUUCAAGAAUUAUUCGGUGAAACUUAUUGGGAAGCUUCGUGAAGUAUUUAACACUCGAAAAGACGAAAUUAUUGAGGGUCGAAACAUAAUUUUAAUGUUUAAUAGUCCUAUAGUUAGUUAUUUUAUUUAUCUUUAUAAAUUGAGCGUAGUUUGUGGAGAGACAUUAAUAGCCAUACUAUUCUUAUUCUCUUACUGGUGGUUUGAAUUAGUUAAUUGUUAUGUUUAUUGAAAGUUGAGUUGUCGUGUAUAUAAAUAUUAUAUUAAUUAGACAUAGAGCUAAGUAGAACAAUUUCUUCCUACGAUAGAAGUUUGUGCUAUUGUAAGUUGUAAUGCCAUUGGAUUACUUUAUAGCUAUAAUUAAUUUGAGUUGAUGGGAAUAUAAUUAGUUUUUUGAUAGAAA
Molecule: long non-coding RNA, 1704 nt
Organism: Cucumis melo (muskmelon)
Lineage: Eukaryota; Viridiplantae; Streptophyta; Magnoliopsida; Cucurbitales; Cucurbitaceae
Exons: 4
Source: RefSeq, a predicted model, not a curated record